Molecule: long non-coding RNA, 1294 nt
Filed under: Homo sapiens (human)
Lineage: Eukaryota; Metazoa; Chordata; Mammalia; Primates; Hominidae
Description: long intergenic non-protein coding RNA 2301
Source: RNAcentral
GUUCCUGUGUGAUGGGGCCGGAGCCAGUAAACAGGCUUCCUUCUCGCUCUGCUGUAUAAGAAGAAGAAGUAGGAGAAACAAAAUAAGGAGGAGAAGAAGUAAAAUAAUUUGAGAAGGAAUAUGAAGGUAAUAUAGAAAUAAAUUUUGUUUUCAAUAUUAGGCUUUAUUUUUAGAGCAGUUUUAGAUUCACAGAGAACUUCUGUAUAUAACCACUUGCCUCUAGAUUAAGCUAAAUUUGAGUUUAUACUGAUUUCUCCAAAGCCAAUCUAUGAUUGCUUGGAUAAUGCUUAUCUCCUUCCCUUGCUUUAUCUGUAAAUUCCUAUUCCAACAGUGAGAAGUUUGGCUCUCACCAUCCACUGUUCCUUUAUUUAAUUGUUCAAUUCCAGGGCAUAUAUGCAGUAGUUUCAAAGUUGGUAACUAGUGCUUGCCAGGAGGCUACUUUACCAAAUAGAGUACAGUGCUUACAGGCAGUUUCUUUUGCCCUUACUCUUACAGACUUUACUCAUUUACAAAGUUACUCAGCUCAGCAUCUUCCUCUCCUCACCAUCUUCGGUGAGAUUGUUUCAAUAAUCUACUAGAGACACAGGUGUAAUUUCACCAUUAUUUGCCAUACAAUGAAAUGUUCCUGUUGCGCAUGUGUUAUUUUGGAAUCCCUGGACCUUCUAAAUGUUUCUUUUUUCUUACCUUUUAAUUUUAAAGUUUACCCCCUUAUGCUUUAAAGUUACAUGGGUUUUGGGUCAAAUGGUAUUUCUAGUUCUAGAUCCCUGAGGAAUCUCCACACUGACUUCCACAAUGGUUGAACUAGUUUACAGUCCCACCAACAGUGUAAAAGUGUUCCUAUGUCUCCACAUCCUCUCCAGCACCUGUUGUUUCCUGACUUUUUAAUGAUUGCCAUUCUAACUGGCGUGAGACGGUAUCUCAUUGUGGUUUUGAUUUGCAUUUCUCUGAUGGCCAGUGAUGAUGAGCAUUUUUUCAUGUGUUUUUUGGCUGCAUAAAUGUCUUCUUUUGAGAAGUGUCUGUUCAUGUCCUUCGCCCACUUUUUGAUGGGGUUGUUUGUUUUUUUCUUAACAAUGAGAUCACAUGGACACAGAAAGGGGAAUAUCACACUCUGGGGACUGUGGUGGGGUGGGGGGAGGGGGGAGGGAUAGCAUUGGGAGAUAUACCUAAUGCUAGAUGACGAGUUAGUGGGUGCAGUGCACCAGCAUGGCACAUGUAUACAUAUGUAACUAACCCGCACAAUGUGCACAUGUACCCUAAAACUUAAAGUAUAAAAAAAAAUUUAAAAAAAUUAAAA